UGGCUUUGGCAGCACUUAUGCAAAGAUUGGAACAGUACAGAGAAGAUUAGCAUGGCCCCAAGAAGGGACGAUGUGCAAAUUUGCAACGCAUUCCAUUUUUUU
This is a small nuclear RNA of Hippopotamus amphibius kiboko, 102 nucleotides long. NCBI's taxonomy places the organism in Eukaryota, Metazoa, Chordata, Mammalia, Artiodactyla, Hippopotamidae. The record is from RefSeq and is a predicted model, not a curated record.